UUGGAGGUGUAGCUCAGUGGUGAAGCUUGCCUGGCAUGUGGGAGGCCCUGGGUUCAAUCCCCAGUUCUAAG
This 71-nucleotide transfer RNA is filed under the name Marmota monax (woodchuck). RNAcentral's name for it is "tRNA.Ala". Lineage: Eukaryota; Metazoa; Chordata; Mammalia; Rodentia; Sciuridae. The record is from RNAcentral.